AUUGAACGCUGGCGGCAGGCUUAACACAUGCAAGUCGAGCGAGCGGCGGACGGGUGAGUAAUGUCUGGGAAACUGCCUGAUGGAGGGGGAUAACUACUGGAAACGGUAGCUAAUACCGCAUACCAUCAGAUGUGCCCAGAUGGGAUUAGCAAGUAGGUGGGGUAACGGCUCACCUAGGCGACGAUCCCUAGCUGGACUGAGGGGAUGACCAGCCACACGGGAACUGAGACACGGUCCAGACACCUGCGGUAGGCAGCAGUGGGGAAUAUUGCACAAGGGGCGAAAGCCUGAUGCAGCCAUGCCGCGUGUGUGAAGAAGGCCUUCGGGUGGUAAAGCACUUUCAGCGGUGAGGCGUUACCCGCAGAAGAAGCACCGGCUAACUCCGUGCCAGCAGCCGCGGUAAUUC
This 406-nucleotide ribosomal RNA is filed under the name uncultured bacterium. RNAcentral describes it as "partial 16S ribosomal RNA". It matches the Rfam family "Bacterial small subunit ribosomal RNA", at positions 29 to 526 of the family's 1533-position model. The record is from RNAcentral.